UUAUCCUCCUUCCUCCUUCACGCCCCAAACUUCUUCUCUCUCAACUCUCUAAUUCUCCCUAUCUCGACAGAAAUUGAAGAAGUUCCCCCAAAAUUCUCCGUCGUCGUCUCCAUCUCUAAUAUUACUGCGCAACCAUGGCAGCAAUCGCCGAUGAUUCCACAGCCGGGAGAUGGAAGGCACGGUUCCACCAGCCAUGGCUGCUCCGCCUGAACAGCCGCUGCUGCUGCUCGUCGUUGGGAUCCGCCGCCGUCGUUGCUGGGAGACGCGACGCCGCUGCUGUCUCGCCGGGAAGACGUUGGUGUCGCCGCUGCACAGAGCCGGGCUGCUGCCACCGUCGCCACUGAUUUCUGCUGCCGUCGGUCGUCGGCUUCUCCGCCGAUUCGUCAGCGGUCCCCGUCGGUCAGCUCCGAUUCGCCCGAACACCCCAAGAUCACGGAGGAGGAAUAUCUCAUCAGGGAGGAGGAAAAUCUCUAAGAAAUCUUUAAUUAAAUUGAAUUAUCGACUUGGUAACCAAGUCAACAGGAAGAGGAUUUGAUUUGUUUAAUUCACGGUUCUUUGUAUUUUAAUUAAAUUAUGCAGCCCACAUUUUAUUUAUCA
This is a long non-coding RNA of Salvia splendens (bonfire salvia), 597 nucleotides long. RefSeq lists it as uncharacterized. Lineage: Eukaryota; Viridiplantae; Streptophyta; Magnoliopsida; Lamiales; Lamiaceae. The record is from RefSeq and is a predicted model, not a curated record. The transcript is spliced from 2 exons.